UAUAAUAGGUGAAUAUUAGAUGACAAAUAUAUAUUAACUAUAUAAAUUUAAAACAGUUUGAAAAGUUAUUUGAUCAUUUCAUACGCAAAAAUAUGUAUAUGAAUAAAAGAAAAAAAAGAGAAAAAAAAAAUACUAAAGUAUUAAGAUGGAUGACAGUGCAUUCAUUCUACGAACAGAUAAAAGGAAAAAAACAUCAUUUUCACCCCAUACUAUACAAGAAAAGUUAAAGCCACAUCUAAACUAUAUAAGUGACCUAUUACACAUCUUAACUAUAUAAAAGUAAUAUUAUUACCUGUCCGCGACCCUCAUUCUAAAGCACGUAUGUUACAAUUUUAGGCGCGUCCAGCCUAUUAAAUAAUAAAAGUAAACGACUAAAAUCAUUAAGGGAAAAAGCAUCGUUUUCACCCCAAACUAUAGUCGAAAAGUCGAAUCCACACCUAAACUAUAUAAGUGACCUAUUACACACUUUGACGAUAAAAAAAAGUGAUAUUUUUUACUCCUUAAAUCUGACUUGAAAAAUACAUAAUUAUUUAAAUAAAAAUUAACGCAUUUAAAUUAAAAAUUAAUGCAAAAAAAAUUAAAAUUAAAAUACUUCUCCCCCAACCCCCAGCAUCCAUCUCCCCACCGCCAUCCCCAAACAAUCCUCUUCUUCAUCACCCCUAACCCCAAACCAUCAUCUUCUUCAUCACUCCCACCCUGAAACUCCAACCCCAACCCCAAACAAUCUUCUUCUUCAUCACCCCACCCCAACCAACACAGUUUCUUCAUCACCCUACCUCCAAAUUCCAACUCCAUCCCCAAAUAACAUAAUUCAUCCUCCACCUUCAUCGAACCAAUAUCAAUUUCACAAUGAACAAAAUCAAAUUGUAUUUGGUGUUUAAACGGGUAAAACCAAAUUUUAUAAAAAAAAUAUAUAAAAUUUUGUAGCAAGGAUGUUUUCCGAUGGAUUCUCGUUGGAAAAGUCAAAUUCAUCGUCAACUUUCUCAUCUCAGUCUGUUAAUUAUUAAUCCAUCCUAAAAUGGAGUUUGCUACCAUAUUAGUUUUUUCUUUAAAUUAUAGCUGAAAAACAAAUGAAAAAAGUAUGAAAAUGUGUUGGUCAUUACCAUUUAAAAUACAGAGGCCAACAAUCAAAUGACCAUUUUUUGAAACAAUAAUGGCCAUUAUAGCUGAGAAUUUUUUAUUUUAUUUUUUAAGAAAAGACGAUGGAUUACAGAUGAAGAACAAUGUUAGAAGAAAUUAACUGUUAUGAUAAUUUUGUUGGUGGGAUAAAGUUUAUGGUGGUGAAUAUGGUGUAAUGGAGGUAAUGAAGAUUUUGGACAUUAACAAUGGAGGUUUUAGACAUUGAAGAAGAAGGAAAAAAAAUUAAAUUAAAAACAAAAAAGAAAAAAUUAUGAAAAUAAUAAAUUUAUUAUUUUUUCGAAUUAUGCUGACUUGGCAGCGCGUGUAAACACCAUACCACAUGCAAGUUGUGUAAUGCCUGACAGAGUGUAAAAAGUAUCACUUUUUUAUAGUUAAGGUGUGUAAUAGGUCACUUAUAUAGUUUAAGUGUGGAUUUGACUUUUCGACUAUAGUUUGAGGUGGAAACAAUGUCUUUUCCCAACAGAUAACUCCCCAUUUUUGGCAAUUGGUUGGUGCAACGUCAAGCAACCUGAAAUACAUAAGGGAGGAUAAGAUAGCCUACAAGAAAAUUAAUUUUGUAACUUAAGACAUCAAGUUUAAUUUAGAAAUCAUUCAUAGCAGGGCAUACACAGGAAAGAAAGAAAUUUAAAAGAAAAUAAUACUCAGCUGCAUAUGAGGAUACCUAUGCUGCAUAUUCCAUGUCACAAAGUUUCAGUGAAUCUGUUGUUGCUAUAUAUAUCAAUUGAUGGCAAAUGAUAUUCAUUGACUUAGGAACUUAAGAGUUACUCUAAAACGUUGGGAGAGGGAAACCUUUUUGGCUGUACAAAUAAAUUUAAUACAAAUUAAUAUGGAUAAUUAUAGACUUAGAUUAAUUUAAUUAAUGAAUGAAAAAGAGAAAAAGAGAAAAAUUGAAAAAAAUAAUGAAAAAAUCAAAAAAUGGAAAAAGCAUACCACAUCAGGAUGUUUAUAACUCUUCUUUUUAUAUAUAUAUAUAUAUAUAUAUAUAUAUAUACUUUUGAUUCUUAUAAUUUUAAACAAAUACGUGUAUUAUGACAAAAACAUAUAUACCCUUUAAAUCUUGUAAUACUAAACACGCAUGUUAUAUCAUUUCUACAAGUACACGUCAUUAAAGCUAUAAGAAAAGUUAGAACAAGAAACUUACAAAGGGUUAGGUGAUGAGUGGUAAAUUUACCGCUCAUUUACCUCCAAAUGCAACUUACAAAGGGUUAGGUGAUGUGUGGUAAAUUUACCGCUCAUUUACCUCCAAAUGCGUACACACUACUAUGAUUUAAUGGUAUGAAUGAGACAACUUUGGCAUUUGAAUGCACUAAUUCUCAUAUUUUGCAGGUAUACAGGUGAUGAAAAGAAAAGAAGUGAAAUAGGCUAAAAAGAGAUAAAAAAAGGGAAGAGAAGUGCAAAAGCUGGAAAAGCAGGAGCAGGAUCUGACCUCAGUUACUGUGAUCGCGGUCUGAGGGCCAUGAUCAUAGACAUUCAAGAUUAGUCAGAGCCAACGAUUGUGAAGGAUUCACCACAAUCGCGGGAGUCGCGAUCGUGAUCAAGAUGGGGCAAUCGCGGCAGCGGGGGUUUAUGCCAAAGGGCAGAUUUGUAAUUUCAUAAAAUUGACCCCAAAUCCCAUAUAGAGCAAAAAUCCUUUCAUUUUUGGGCAUCUUCCCAACUAAAAUUGAGCUUGGAGAAAUUUGAAACCCUGUCUAAUUGGGAAACUUAUUGUGGCAAAUUUCUCACGCGAUUUUGAUUGUAAUUGAAGUUGGCUAUUGAAGAAUACUCUUGUUUGCUUCUUCAAUGGAAGCAUUGAAUGAUCAUUUUGGCAUAAUUCUUUUCCCUAACUUCAUGAGUAGCUAAACAUUUAUCUUGGGAUUAUAUUGAAAUCGGGUGCAAAUAUGUGUGGGUUGUGAUUUAUUAGUGUAGUUUCUUAGUUAUUGAUGAUGGGUUUCACUAAUGCUUGCUUUGAGUUGGGAUUUGUGAGUGAAAACUUCAAAUUCCCAAUACAUCAUCCUUGAAAGAGGGACAUGAGUAUACUUUUGGAUCUUAUAUCAUCCUUGAAAGAGGGAUAUGGGUGACAAAGCAUUAGUGAACAAUAGUUAGAUAUAGCUUAUUUCAUUUUCAUUAUCUUACAAAUAAAGGUGGAUUGAGAAUUAACUAGGUCUUGGGCAUCUUUCUAGAAAUAGGGAUGCCCAAUUGAGGUGUUGGGUGUAUUUUCUUGCCACAUCCAUGAGGUAUCCGAAAAGGUCCUUGGGUGUUAAUCUUGAGGUUUUGUUGACAAAUUAGCAUCAAGAGCCCCUAACCUAGCCUACUCAUGUAGUUGUUAACUAGAAUUUGCAUUCCAUUCUCAUGAAACAAUGCAUUAUUUGCCCCUAGGAAGACAUAAUCCCAAG
RNAcentral lists this long non-coding RNA (3512 nucleotides) under Capsicum annuum. RNAcentral's name for it is "long non-coding RNA (CANN_LNC006612)". The record is from RNAcentral. Lineage: Eukaryota; Viridiplantae; Streptophyta; Magnoliopsida; Solanales; Solanaceae.